GCUAUCAUCUAUCUAAUUGGACUUAUAAUGCUAUGAUAAAUGGGCUUUGUAAGGAGGACUUGUUUGGUGAAGCACUUGCCUUGUUAUCAAGAAUGGAAGACAGUGGUUGCAUUCCUAAUGUUGUAAAUUAUGAAACAAUUGUCAAUUAUCUUUUUCAAAAAGGUGAGACAAAUAAGGCAGAGAACCUUCUACGUGAAAUGAUUGCUAAAGGUUACUAUAAGAGUAAAACUUGGUAACAUACUUUCUAGUUAUACAUUUUUUUUUUCAGCAUAUAAUCACUCUUGUUAAUUUUAGAGUGGACGGAAAAUGGUGCAUCUUCCUCUGUGAAGAUAGAGGGGAGAGUAACUUCUCUAGUUAAGUGAAUUGUGGACUUUAUGCUGGCAGUAAUAAGUACCUCAUGAAAUUCAAUUCUUCAUAUUAUUUCUAUAUUUCAUAUUCUUGAUGGCAUACACCAAAAUGUGGAAAAUUUUUAUUCUGCUUUUUCUGUUUUUCAGCACUUGUGUUACUUGCUAUUUAAAUUGUUUCAGUUCUGUUUAUUAGCUUUGAUUAUAAGCUUAUCCUGUUCCAAAAUGUUCUACUCUUCCUCUGACUCAUUCUAUUCCUCCUUCUGAAUGUUUCUCUUCUUAGAUUCCCUUUCAACUUGAUUUUUAUCUUUCCAUUGACAUAUGUAGGAGCAAGCGCCUCUGAGCUAUUACAUGUCCUAUUUGGCUAUUUUUUAGCAAAGCUGUUAAAAGGUUAUGUUACUACCCUUAGUACUCCCUAACUGUAUCUCAUCUUAUUUCAUCAAUAUCACUUCAUUAUCCAUUAAUUGAUACUUUUUUCAUCAAAUUAUAUUAGUAACCUUUACAUUACAUCGGAUUAUUAGCAUCAACAGUCACAUGAUGUGUUGUUCCCAAGUCAGGGCACCAAGUUUGGGAUACCAAAUUGUCAGGACCAGUGAGUAUUGUCUGAGCUUGUUGUGAGAUAAUGAACUAACAGUGGAGGUAAAUUAUGUGAUACAUUCAAAAAGUCCUUCUCUACACAUUCAAAUAGUAAGGCUAUUGUCAAAUAAUGAGGGAUACUUAUGAAGCACCGACACUGGCACAUUGACAUCGAUUAUAUUUUUGAAAAAAUGAAAAAGUGAUUGAACGCAACAAUAUAUGUCGAUGUUGUGUCGGUAUCUGACACUGACAUGUGUCAGAUACUAGACACGUCAUUAAUCUGAAGUGUCGGUGCUACCUACUAAAUACUAUCUUAUUACUUAAAUUUAUGGGUUUCUUUGUUUUUCGAGAAAAAAACAAUUUUAGGAUAUCGUUAGAGUUGAAUGAACUGUGAUUUUGAAGAAAAAUCUAAAGAAAAGGAUUGGAGACAAUGUAUUGCAUUGAUUUGGAUUACAAGAAAUAUGGCCUUGUCAAACAAUAUUGCUGAAGUAGCAUCAAGUUCUUUUCGCAGUCUAGUUGGUUCAAAAUGGAAUUCCUUCUAGGUGCAUGUUUCAAAAGUUAAGUGCUUGUAAGUCAUUUUGAAUUUUGAGUUCAAUGUAUGUAAAUCCAAACGAACAAUUUAACCUUCUAUGCUUUGUGGAUACUUCCUCUGUGUUUGUAUCUUUAAAUAGAAUAAGGCUCGACCGGAAAACAAAUUCUCAUUCAGUAAUUUUUUGUUGGUUUGGUUGAGUAAUUCGAGGUGGUUGUGUUAGUUUUCUUACAGUUAUUGGCUGAUUUUACAGAGAAAUUGUUAUUUACAA
Molecule: long non-coding RNA, 1720 nt
Organism: Cicer arietinum (chickpea)
Lineage: Eukaryota; Viridiplantae; Streptophyta; Magnoliopsida; Fabales; Fabaceae
Source: RefSeq, a predicted model, not a curated record